UACGGGAGGCAGCAGUGGGGAAUAUUGGGCAAUGGGGGAAACCCUGACCCAGCAACGCCGCGUGAAGGAAGAAGGCUUUCGGGUUGUAAACUUCUUUUAUCAGGGACGAAGCAAGUGACGGUACCUGAUGAAUAAGCCACGGCUAACUACGUGCCAGCAGCCGCGGUAAU
RNAcentral lists this ribosomal RNA (170 nucleotides) under uncultured rumen bacterium. RNAcentral's name for it is "partial 16S ribosomal RNA". It matches the Rfam family "Bacterial small subunit ribosomal RNA", at positions 340 to 524 of the family's 1533-position model. The record is from RNAcentral.